GCCUGUGUUGGUCUCAAGUAAGACAUGCUAACACUAAAGAACUAUUUUCAAAGACAAGGAAGGCCCUAGUGAGAUGCAGGCCCCUCGACCUUGGAAUCUCCAGCCUUCAGAACGGCUGAAAGGUGUCCAUCCCACUGGUGAAUACACAAUCAAGAGCUUCAGAGCAGAGCCUUCAUCUCCACUAUGGCCUCCACCACAGCAAGCUUAAGUGCACUUCCAUGGAUC
This is a long non-coding RNA of Gorilla gorilla gorilla (western lowland gorilla), 225 nucleotides long. RefSeq lists it as uncharacterized. NCBI's taxonomy places the organism in Eukaryota, Metazoa, Chordata, Mammalia, Primates, Hominidae. The transcript has 3 exons. The record is from RefSeq and is a predicted model, not a curated record.